AGGAUGCAAUGGAGAACAUUUACAGAGGACUGUGGGUAAAGCAAAGUCUUCAAGGGAAGAUAACAAAGGAUGAAACAAUGGUGUUGUGUGACUUCCUAGUGUGAAUCAUGGCAAUACAGUGAAAGACAGUGAUUUACUGCUUUUGAGGGCGUGCAUGUAUAUGAUUAACGGAUGGAAGUGCAGGACUCCAAGAUUUACUUCCUUCCCUUUCCAGCAGAAUUACCUGAGACGAGUAAAAUCUACUGGUGGAGUCACUCCAUUAUUCUUAUCUGUGGAGAUCUAGAUCUUGAUUUGAAAGUUUCUGAGAAAAUCUUCAGCUCAGACUUGAGGGUCAACUUUACCAGCUGAAGGAUCUGCAUUUACUGCUCAACCACAUCUAAUUUGAUGUCCUCUGCAGAUUUAAAAUGUGUGCCUUCUUUUCCGUCACCAAGUCAUCCCUGGGUUACUACUGAACAUCCUUCUCAAUUCCCCCCGACCCAUGGAUGGCUGUUCUCCAUUGUCUGUUUCACCAGAUGUCCUCAAAACAAACAGACAGAAGAAGGAAGUGGCUAAUGGAGCUGUGGAGUCCAAGUGUGACUGCCAAGAGGAAUCCAGCAAAGCCAAAAAGCCCAAGCAUGUAGCCCUGCCCGAAGCACGCCACACGCAUGGAAAACCCAGAGGAAAUGAGUGAGGAUCAAUGGGAAGAAGAGAGCCAGCCAGUUCUGGAGACCAGAAGGCCAAAAUCAAAAGUAUGGGCAGGCUUGAUUUCUUUAGAAGACUCCAGCGGAGAACUGUGUCUCCUUGCUUCUGAUUCUACAUCUCCAUCCAUGGGCCACUGUUUCAGCAACCUCAGCCAGUGCAACACAACCUCAGCCAAGAAGAGUAUGCAGAGAAAGGAGUCCCCUACCUGCCACAAAACUGUUGUCUGAAAACUGUCUCAUAUUGUCUCAAGUUGUCAUUCAUUGUGAAUUAGACCUGUUUAACAUGUAAUCUGC
Molecule: long non-coding RNA, 974 nt
Filed under: Homo sapiens (human)
Lineage: Eukaryota; Metazoa; Chordata; Mammalia; Primates; Hominidae
Description: cancer susceptibility 15
Source: RNAcentral